RNAcentral lists this ribosomal RNA (732 nucleotides) under uncultured bacterium. RNAcentral's name for it is "bacterial SSU rRNA". It matches the Rfam family "Bacterial small subunit ribosomal RNA", at positions 395 to 1116 of the family's 1533-position model. The record is from RNAcentral.
CGCCGCGUGAGCGAAGAAGGCCUUCGGGUCGUAAAGCUCUGUUGUCAGGGAAGAACAAGUGCCGGAGUAACUGCCGGCACCUUGACGGUACCUGACCAGAAAGCCACGGCUAACUACGUGCCAGCAGCCGCGGUAAUACGUAGGUGGCAAGCGUUGUCCGGAAUUAUUGGGCGUAAAGCGCGCGCAGGCGGCCUCUUAAGUCUGAUGUGAAAGCCCACGGCUCAACCGUGGAGGGUCAUUGGAAACUGGGGGGCUUGAGUGCAGAAGAGGAGAGCGGAAUUCCACGUGUAGCGGUGAAAUGCGUAGAGAUGUGGAGGAACACCAGUGGCGAAGGCGGCUCUCUGGUCUGUAACUGACGCUGAGGCGCGAAAGCGUGGGGAGCGAACAGGAUUAGAUACCCUGGUAGUCCACGCCGUAAACGAUGAGUGCUAAGUGUUAGAGGGUUUCCGCCCUUUAGUGCUGCAGCAAACGCAUUAAGCACUCCGCCUGGGGAGUACGGCCGCAAGGCUGAAACUCAAAGGAAUUGACGGGGGCCCGCACAAGCGGUGGAGCAUGUGGUUUAAUUCGAAGCAACGCGAAGAACCUUACCAGGUCUUGACAUCCUCUGACACUCCUGGAGACAGGACGUUCCCCUUCGGGGGACAGAGUGACAGGUGGUGCAUGGUUGUCGUCAGCUCGUGUCGUGAGAUGUUGGGUUAAGUCCCGCAACGAGCGCAACCCUUGAUCUUAGUU